Molecule: microRNA, 21 nt
Filed under: Spodoptera frugiperda (fall armyworm)
Lineage: Eukaryota; Metazoa; Arthropoda; Insecta; Lepidoptera; Noctuidae
Description: sfr-miR-10466-5p
Source: miRBase by way of RNAcentral
UAUAAUUAUCAGCACCGUCCA